This 685-nucleotide ribosomal RNA is filed under the name uncultured microorganism. Its description in RNAcentral is "bacterial SSU rRNA". It matches the Rfam family "Bacterial small subunit ribosomal RNA", at positions 62 to 768 of the family's 1533-position model. The record is from RNAcentral.
UCGAGCGGGUAUAGCAAUAUAUCAGCGGCGAAAGGGAGAGUAACGCGUAGCUACGUACCCCGGAGUCCGGAAUAGCCAGCCGAAAGGCUGGGUAAUGCCGGAUGAUGUCUCCGGACUAAAGGUGUGAUUCCGCUUUGGGAGCGGGCUGCGUUGUACUAGCUUGUUGGUAGGGUAAUGGCCUACCAAGGCGAUGAUGCAUACCGGGCGUGAGAGCGUGGCCCGGCUCACUGGGACUGAGACACUGCCCAGACACCUACGGGUGGCUGCAGUCGAGAAUCUUCGGCAAUGAGCGCAAGCUUGACCGAGCGACGCCGCGUGCGGGAUGAAGGCCUUCGGGUUGUAAACCGCGAAAGUAGGGAGGAAAUCGCUGGGGGUUCUCCUCCAGUGUUGACCUAUCUUCAGUAAGGACGGGCUAAGUUCGUGCCAGCAGCCGCGGUAAUACGAACCGUCCAAACGUUAUUCGGAUUUAUUGGGCUUAAAGGGUAUGUAGGCGGCCCUUCAAGUCGGGUGUGAAAGCCCUCGGCUCAACCGAGGAACUGCGCCCGAUACUGUGGGGCUCGAGGGAGACAGAGGUAAGCGGAACUGAUGGUGGAGCGGUGAAAUGCGUUGAUAUCAUCAGGAACACCAGUGGCGAAAGCGGCUUACUGGGUCUCUUCUGGACGCUGAGAUACGAAAGCUAGGGGAG